CAGCAGAACCAUAACCUGCUCCAAGAACACCAAAGGUAUUUCCCACCAAACCAUAUCCAACACCAGCCGGAUAACUUGGAAGUAGACGUGACUUUGGUAAAUUUGACACUCCAACAGACUUCUGAUCUGCCUGAGGUUUUGCAAGAGAACAUUCCAAAACUUGGCCAUCUAGUUUGUAUUUUUCAGUAUUUUUCAGUACUUUCAUAGCACUAGACCUCUCUGUAAAAUGCACAAAACCAAUUCUAUUCUUCUCCUGGCCAGACUUCGCGGGUGGCAAAACCACUUUUGUAAUUUCUCCAUAGUGUUCAAAUAGCUUCUUCAACUGAUCUUGGGUUGUAUUCUUUGGUAAAUUCUUUACAUAUAUUGCCUUAACCUGUGAAGAAGCAGAAGAAUCAGCAUUUUUCGGAUCAGCCCAGCUUACAGUAGGAGCAUUAUUGCCCAGUCUAAAUUUUGGGUUCAUCAUCUUCUGCCUUGAAUACUCAGCACAUGCAUUAUUAUAGUAGUCAAUGAAAGCAAAGCCCCUGUUAUUACUUGUCUUCAUAUCCUUAACCAAUUCCACAGCAGUGACUCCAGGCCCAGCCUCCAUCACAACCUUCCUCAAAUCUUCCAGUUCCCAGUUUCUGGGAACAUUGCCAAGGAAUAGCCGAUGCUUUGAUUGAGAUGUUGAACAUUUAAUUCUUUUACCCUUGAAUUCAGUAUUAUUCAGCUUAUCAAUGGCUUUAGAGGCCAAAUCAACAUUUCUAAAGGUCACAAAUGCAAAGCCUUUGUUCUCAUU
Molecule: unclassified non-coding RNA, 775 nt
Filed under: Hevea brasiliensis (rubber tree)
Lineage: Eukaryota; Viridiplantae; Streptophyta; Magnoliopsida; Malpighiales; Euphorbiaceae
Source: RNAcentral